GAGUUUGAUCAUGGCUCAGGAUGAACGCUAGCUACAGGCUUAACACAUGCAAGUCGAGGGGCAGCGAAAAGAAAGCUUGCUUCUUGUCGGCGACCGGCGCACGGGUGAGUAACGCGUAUCCAACCUUCCCCUUAGUAGGGCAUAGCCCGUAGAAAUGCGGAUUAAUACCCUAUGUUGUUCGAUGCGGACAUCUAAGUUGAACCAAAGGUUUACCGCUAAGGGAUGGGGAUGCGUCCGAUUAGGCAGCAGGCGGGGUAACGGCCCACCUGGCCGACGAUCGGUAGGGUUCUGAGAGGAAGGUCCCCCACAUUGGAACUGAGACACGGUCCAAACUCCUACGGGAGGCAGCAGUGAGGAAUAUUGGUCAAUGGGCGAGAGCCUGAACCAGCCAAGUAGCGUGCCAGGAUGACGGCCCUAUGGGUUGUAAACUGCUUUUAUGCGGGGAUAAAGUGAGGGACGUGUCCCUUAUUGUAGGUACCGCAUGAAUAAGGACCGGCUAAUUCCGUGCCAGCCGCUGC
This 518-nucleotide ribosomal RNA is filed under the name uncultured bacterium. RNAcentral's name for it is "bacterial SSU rRNA". It matches the Rfam family "Bacterial small subunit ribosomal RNA", at positions 9 to 518 of the family's 1533-position model. The record is from RNAcentral.